UGACAUCAGUCUAUUGAUCAUCAACAACAACAUUGAUGGAUUCCAUCAUUACUUUUGUUCUGGAAUUAAAGACCCUAAAUGCUUUGCUGUUUGUUGAGUAGCCCAGAAAUAUUCCUUCAUCACUCAUGGGAUCCAUCUUCCUUCUUUGUUCAUGAUCAGUCAGGAUAUAACAUUUACCAUCAAACACAUGGAAGUAUUUGACACUAGGU
This 209-nucleotide long non-coding RNA is filed under the name Lathyrus oleraceus (garden pea). RNAcentral's name for it is "Pisum sativum (pea) long non-coding RNA (PSAT_LNC003083)". Lineage: Eukaryota; Viridiplantae; Streptophyta; Magnoliopsida; Fabales; Fabaceae. The record is from RNAcentral.